Triticum aestivum (bread wheat) is the source of this 115-nucleotide non-coding RNA. NCBI's taxonomy places the organism in Eukaryota, Viridiplantae, Streptophyta, Magnoliopsida, Poales, Poaceae. The record is from Rfam.
CUUGUACUCCCUUUGUCCAAAAAUAUUUGUCAUUGAAAUGAAUGUAUCUAGAUGUAUUUUAGUUCUAGACACAUCCAUUUUGAUGACAAGUAAUUCCGAACGGAGGGAGUACUUG